Molecule: ribosomal RNA, 1403 nt
Filed under: uncultured bacterium
Lineage: Bacteria
Description: bacterial SSU rRNA
Rfam family: Bacterial small subunit ribosomal RNA
Source: RNAcentral
UUUGAUUAUGGCUCAGGACGAACGCUGGCGGCGUGCCUAAUACAUGCAAGUAGAACGCUGAAGAGAGGAGCUUGCUCUUCUUGGAUGAGUUUGCGAACGGGUGAGUAACGCGUAGGUAACCUGCCUUGUAGCGGGGGAUAACUAUUGGAAACGAUAGCUAAUACCGCAUAACAAUAGGUGACACAUGUCAUUUAUUUGAAAGGGGCAAUUGCUCCACUACAAGAUGGACCUGCGUUGUAUUAGCUAGUAGGUGAGGUAACGGCUCACCUAGGCGACGAUACAUAGCCGACCUGAGAGGGUGAUCGGCCACACUGGGACUGAGACACGGCCCAGACUCCUACGGGAGGCAGCAGUAGGGAAUCUUCGGCAAUGGGGGCAACCCUGACCGAGCAACGCCGCGUGAGUGAAGAAGGUUUUCGGAUCGUAAAGCUCUGUUGUAAGUCAAGAACGAGUGUGAGAGUGGAAAGUUCACACUGUGACGGUAGCUUACCAGAAAGGGACGGCUAACUACGUGCCAGCAGCCGCGGUAAUACGUAGGUCCCGAGCGUUGUCCGGAUUUAUUGGGCGUAAAGCGAGCGCAGGCGGUUUGAUAAGUCUGAAGUUAAAGGCUGUGGCUCAACCAUAGUUCGCUUUGGAAACUGUCAAACUUGAGUGCAGAAGGGGAGAGUGGAAUUCCAUGUGUAGCGGUGAAAUGCGUAGAUAUAUGGAGGAACACCGGUGGCGAAAGCGGCUCUCUGGUCUGUAACUGACGCUGAGGCUCGAAAGCGUGGGGAGCGAACAGGAUUAGAUACCCUGGUAGUCCACGCCGUAAACGAUGAGUGCUAGGUGUUGGAUCCUUUCCGGGAUUCAGUGCCGCAGCUAACGCAUUAAGCACUCCGCCUGGGGAGUACGACCGCAAGGUUGAAACUCAAAGGAAUUGACGGGGGCCCGCACAAGCGGUGGAGCAUGUGGUUUAAUUCGAAGCAACGCGAAGAACCUUACCAGGUCUUGACAUCCCGAUGCUAUCUCUAGAGAUAGAAAGUUACUUCGGUACAUCGGUGACAGGUGGUGCAUGGUUGUCGUCAGCUCGUGUCGUGAGAUGUUGGGUUAAGUCCCGCAACGAGCGCAACCCCUAUUGUUAGUUGCCAUCAUUCAGUUGGGCACUCUAGCGAGACUGCCGGUAAUAAACCGGAGGAAGGUGGGGAUGACGUCAAAUCAUCAUGCCCCUUAUGACCUGGGCUACACACGUGCUACAAUGGUUGGUACAACGAGUUGCGAGUCGGUGACGGCAAGCUAAUCUCUUAAAGCCAAUCUCAGUUCGGAUUGUAGGCUGCAACUCGCCUACAUGAAGUCGGAAUCGCUAGUAAUCGCGGAUCAGCACGCCGCGGUGAAUACGUUCCCGGGCCUUGUACACACCGCCCGUC